Molecule: ribosomal RNA, 1098 nt
Filed under: Halisarca caerulea
Lineage: Eukaryota; Metazoa; Porifera; Demospongiae; Chondrillida; Halisarcidae
Description: bacterial LSU rRNA
Rfam family: Bacterial large subunit ribosomal RNA
Source: RNAcentral
CUAAAAACACAGCACUCUGCAAACUUGCAAAAGGAAGUAUAGAGUGUGACGCCUGCCCGGUGCUGGAAGGUUAAGUGAUGAUGUUAGUCUUUGGACGAAGCAUUUGACCGAAGCCCCAGUGAACGGCGGCCGUAACUAUAACGGUCCUAAGGUAGCGAAAUUCCUUGUCGGGUAAGUUCCGACCUGCACGAAUGGCGUAACGACUUCCCCGCUGUCUCCGGCAUCGACUCAGUGAAAUUGAAUUCCCCGUGAAGAUGCGGGGUAUCUGCGGUCAGACGGAAAGACCCCGUGAACCUUUACUAUAGCUUUGCACUGGACUUUGAAUUUGCUUGUGUAGGAUAGGUGGGAGGCUUUGAAGCGUGGACGCCAGUUCGCGUGGAGCCAACCUUGAAAUACCACCCUGGCAACUUUGAGGUUCUAACUCAGGUCCGUUAUCCGGAUCGAGGACAGUGUAUGGUGGGUAGUUUGACUGGGGCGGUCUCCUCCCAAAGAGUAACGGAGGAGCGCAAAGGUAUGCUUCGCUCGGUCGGAAAUCGAGCUGGACGUGCAAUGACAAAAGCAUGCUUGACUGCAAGAGUGACGGCUCAAGCAGGUGCGAAAGCAGGUCAUAGUGAUCCGGUGGCGCUUUAUGGAAGGGCCAUCGCUCAACGGAUAAAAGGUACGCCGGGGAUAACAGGCUAAUUCCUCCCAAGAGUCCACAUCGACGGAGGAGUUUGGCACCUCGAUGUCGGCUCAUCACAUCCUGGGGCUGUAGCAGGUCCCAAGGGUAUGGCUGUUCGCCAUUUAAAGCGGUACGCGAGUUGGGUUCAGAACGUCGUGAGACAGUUUGGUCCCUAUCUGCCGUGGGUGUUGGAAACUUGAAAGGGGCUGUCCCUAGUACGAGAGGACCGGGAUGGACGUACCUCUGGUGUUCCGAUUGUGGCGCCAGCCGCACUGUCGGGUAGCUAAGUAUGGGAACGAUAACCGCUGAAAGCAUCUAAGCGGGAAGCGUGCCUUGAGACUGGGUUUCCUUUGAGGGUUGUUGCAGACUACGACUUUGAUAGGCUUGGGGUGGAAGCGCAGUGAUGUGUGAAGCUGACGAGUACUAAUUGCCCGAAG